This 591-nucleotide ribosomal RNA is filed under the name uncultured saccharomyceta. RNAcentral's name for it is "eukaryotic LSU rRNA". The stretch from base 229 to 382 matches the Rfam family "5.8S ribosomal RNA". The record is from RNAcentral. Lineage: Eukaryota; Fungi; Ascomycota.
CUUGGUCAUUUAGAGGAAGUAAAAGUCGUAACGAGGUUUCCGUAGGUGAACCUGCGGAAGGAUCAUUACAGAGUUCAUGCCCUCACGGGUAGAUCUCCCACCCUUGAAUAUUAUACCUUCGUUGCUUUGGUAGGCCGUGGAAACACCACGGGCCCCGGCUUGUGCGUGCCUGCCAGAGGAAACCUAAACUCUGUUUUUAGUGAUGUCUGAGUACUACAUAAUAGUUAAAACUUUCAACAACGGAUCUCUUGGUUCUGGCAUCGAUGAAGAACGCAGCGAAAUGCGAUAAGUAAUGUGAAUUGCAGAAUUCAGUGAAUCAUCGAAUCUUUGAACGCACAUUGCGCCCCGUGGUAUUCCGCGGGGCAUGCCUGUUCGAGCGUCAUUUAGACCAAUCAAGCCUGUGCUUGGUAUUGGGGUUUGCGGUUCCGCAGCCUCUAAACGCAGUGGCGGUGCUAUUGAGUUCUGAGCGUAGUAAAUCUCCUCGCUAUAGAGUCUCGGUAGUUACUUGCCAACAACCCCCAACUUUAUCAAGGUUGACCUCGGAUCAGGUAGGGAUACCCGCUGAACUUAAGCAUAUCAAUAAGCGGAGGA